RNAcentral lists this unclassified non-coding RNA (316 nucleotides) under plant metagenome. RNAcentral describes it as "partial contains 5.8S ribosomal RNA, internal transcribed spacer 2, and large subunit ribosomal RNA". The stretch from base 1 to 105 matches the Rfam family "5.8S ribosomal RNA", at positions 50 to 154 of the family's 154-position model. The record is from RNAcentral.
GAAAUGCGAUAAUUAAUGUGAAUUGCAGAAUUCCGUGAAUCAUCGAGUCUUUGAACGCACAUUGCGCCCCCUGGUAUUCCGGGGGGCAUGCCUGUCCGAGCGUCAUUGCUGCCCAUCAAGCACGGCUUGUGUGUUGGGUCGUCGUCCCCUCUCCGGGGGGGACGGGCCCCAAAGGCAGCGGCGGCACCGCGUCCGAUCCUCGAGCGUAUGGGGCUUUGUCACCCGCUCUGUAGGCCCGGCCGGCGCUUGCCGAACGCAAAUCAAUCUUUUUCCAGGUUGACCUCGGAUCAGGUAGGGAUACCCGCUGAACUUAAGC